RNAcentral lists this ribosomal RNA (554 nucleotides) under uncultured bacterium. RNAcentral's name for it is "partial 16S ribosomal RNA". It matches the Rfam family "Bacterial small subunit ribosomal RNA", at positions 355 to 900 of the family's 1533-position model. The record is from RNAcentral.
UAGGGAAUCUUCCACAAUGGACGCAAGUCUGAUGGAGCAACGCCGCGUGAGUGAAGAAGGUUUUCGGACCGUAAAGCUCUGUUGUUGGUGAAGAAGGAUAGAGGUAGUAACUGGCCUUUAUUUGACGGUAAUCAACCAGAAAGUCACGGCUAACUACGUGCCAGCAGCCGCGGUAAUACGUAGGUGGCAAGCGUUGUCCGGAUUUAUUGGGCGUAAAGCGAGCGCAGGCGGAAGAAUAAGUCUGAUGUGAAAGCCCUCGGCUUAACCGAGGAAUUGCAUCGGAAACUGUUUUCUUGAGUGCAGAAGAGGAGAGUAGAACUCCAUGUGUAGUGGUGGAAUGCGUAGAUAUAUGGAAGAAUACCAGUGGCGAAGGCGGCUCUCUGGUCUGCAACUGACGCUGAGGCUCGAAAGCAUGGGUAGCGAACAGGAUUAGAUACCCUGGUAGUCCAUGCCGUAAACGAUGAGUGCUAAGUGUUGGGAGGCUUCCGCCUCUCAGUGCUGCAGCUAACGCAUUAAGCACUCCGCCUGGGGGAGUACGACCGCAAGGUUGAAAC